AAAGUGGAGCCGUCUUUUCUGCACAGAGUGUGCACUAUCAUCGUAACAGCAGAGACGGAGAGCAAGAUGUGAGGAGGUUAAAAGUCAGGGUCAGAAGUUCAGGUUGCUCUGACCCUCAAAUCAAUUUCAAGCACUGUUUGUGACAUUUUCCUGUGUUCCCUCGCUUGAUGUUAGUCUUUGCAAUGAACCACCGAAUCAGACUUCAGGGCUCAUGGGACUUUGGGGUUUCAGUAGGGUCAGGUCAAUUUCUACCUACCAGUGUACUGUCACCUAUGAGGCAAACCAUUAUCUAGGCGUUUGAGAACCUCAAAGUUUUGAAGCUCUGAGGGGAAAGAGAGAGGAUGAAGCGCUGGGGCCCCUGUGUCUUUGGGGCCUGACAUAGCUCAACCUGUGGCUUCAGGGGGACCGUGUGCAGCCAGGUCACAGUGGUACCGGAAAGGGAUCCUGAUCCAGACCCCAAGAGAGGGUUCUUGGAUCUCGUGCAAGAAAAAAUUCAGGCUGAUGGCACUAAGGCUGAACCCAGAAGCUGCAGCAGUGGACGGAUGAUGAUCUGAAGAAAUGAGAUCCCUGAUGGGCUUGGAAGUCAUGGUUCCUGUAACCAUGAUGUCACACCCUCGUCCUGACACCGAGAUGGGCUGGACACAUCUGUCACCCAGGGCAAACAAAAUGCUUGGUCUGCAUCUUUCAGAAGAAAACUAAAAAUCAAGUAAUUUCUUAGAAGUUUGCUUGCGUGUGGCUUAAGUCUUCUUCUCCUGUUGAGGAAGGUGUUGAGUUUGACCAUGACAGCCCCACCCAGUCCUUGGCUCAUCUCACCCAUCAAAGAGGAUCUGGAGAUUCAGAGCUAUGCCGUGGAAGACCUUGUCAGAGCACCAGGCCAUACUGUGCUGCAGGUGGGGUUCAGGUGCCCAGUGACAACCACCGGGGCCGCUCAUCCCUAAACGUCUGUUGAACUUAAAGUUCUACUCAAGACUUUCUACAUUAAAUACCCUUUCAUACAGCAAAAUCAGCCAUGUUCUGAGAUGUGAAACUGCAGCACAAAGUUACUGUGGUCUCCACCUAUAGAAAUGGAAUGUUACUUCAUAAAGCCCCAGGCCAAAAAAGAAACCCCAAAACUCUGAAACGACACCCUUAAAUUUAACCUGAACAUCUGGCCAGCCUCCUCCAUCAUUGAAACUUCUCCUGAGUGUUGGCAUGGAUCCUAUGUUUCUCCAGCCAGGGAGCUUUGCUCCCCAUUCUUGAUGGACCCACUGAGUCCCAAUUUUCUACAUUUUACUUGGGUCAUUCCACCACUUUGGGAUGCUUUUCCUACUCUGUUGUACUUUAAAAAUGUUUCUUCUUUCCUAUUCUCAGCUUCACGCAUUUGUCUUCUUUCUCAAUUCAACUUGCUUAGUUCUCGCUACAUCAAUUCCUAGAGCCAUCCAUCUGCACUUCUGAAUCAUUUAAGUUUUGUUUGGCUACAAGUAAUGGAAACCCACUCUGAGUAACUCAAGCAAGAACUGGAAUUUAUUGGAAGGACAGUGGGAUAUAUCAUAAGAUCCAAAAAGAAUUGAACAAAUAAAAUUUCAGAGGGAAGAAAAAGGGCAGCUCCAGUGACUUCAGCAACAAGACAACAUAAGUCUUUCUAGAGCAUAGCUACUAAUAUUAUUCAGCUGCAAGAGCCCCUCCCCAUGAGAAACUUGAUUGAAAAUUCUGAUUUCCCACAGAGAAGAAUCUGAUCGACUCAGUUUAGCUUUGGUUGCCCAACUGCUCAAUCUUGCAUGAAUUAUUUCCAGCCAAGGGGACAAGGUGUAUUAUAGGGACACACCUGCUUUCUCCAAAGAAAAGAUCUGGGCAUUUCCUGAUCAUUUCCCUGAGAAGGAGGAAUCAUUGUGAGCCAAGAAGAUACCUCAAGUAUAAUGAGCUCAGUUACACUUUUUUGAUAUCUGAGUAUUUGGUAUGUAGUGUGCAUUUUAAAAAACAUGUCUCUCUCCAGGACAAUGUUAACCUCUUCCACGGUGGAGUGGGGCUAUGUGAUUUUGUGCUUAAUUUACCUAGCUGGUGGGCCUCCAGUAGAGGCUGUAGUCGAGCCAGCUGAUACCACAUCAGUUCUCCAAAGGAACAAAAGCUGCCCUUCCUUCCUUAUUGCAAAGUUUGACAAAAAGCAAAACGUGAAGAAUAAAAGCGACUUGCAUUGUCUAACAUCUACCGCAGUGUUUGAGCUGCAGCUGCUCCUCCUCCCCUGAUUGUUUUCAAAUAUUUCUUCAAAAAAGGCAUUAAAGAAAAACACAAGAUAUUGCACAGGGAACCAAAACAAAUCACAAUCUUCAAGGACAAAGCAUUGCAAAAUGGCUUACAUCCCCAAAUGGGAACAGAUAUGGUUGGAAAUUAAAACAAUCUUUUUUAUUUUAAGCGGAAAUGCUAGCAGAUGCCACAAGAAACAUAUGGAACUCGCCACAGACAAAUAGGGAAUGCUUUCUGCGUGUGGAAGUAGAGCAAAGGGAGUGACCACCUCUGACUGUCAGGGGGAACCAUCAGCUCGAACUGUUUGCUAUGGCAGGAGGGAGUUUGCAGAGUCCGGAGUCCUGCCCUCAUGAAAAAGCUUUAACGGUCUUGACUGAGUAAUUUAAGUCAUUCUUGUCAGGGAGUUUCAGAACACUAUGCACAAUUAUAUUUAUUUCACAAUGCAUUGAUUCCAGAUAUCUUUUUAAAUGUGCUUACCUCUGUGUGCGUUGUUACCUGUUCCCUCUUUGAAUCUCUGAAUGAAACAAAAUAAAUAGGAAAAAAUGGAGACAUAGAAGCAUUGUCCACAAGGCAUCUCCCACUCUAGAGGUCUCCCAGCCCCGUGCUAGCUUGUUAAUUUAUUAUCGCUUGUCUGUCAAACAAGGAAGAUAUAAUUUGCCACACAACAUGUUUUCCUAAAGCAAUGUUUUUGUACAAUUUCCUGAUUUCCAAAAAUAUGACCAAUGAUAUUCUGGUUGA
RNAcentral lists this long non-coding RNA (2958 nucleotides) under Homo sapiens (human). RNAcentral describes it as "non-protein coding LINC00838:2". The record is from RNAcentral. Lineage: Eukaryota; Metazoa; Chordata; Mammalia; Primates; Hominidae.